Molecule: long non-coding RNA, 9011 nt
Filed under: Linum usitatissimum (flax)
Lineage: Eukaryota; Viridiplantae; Streptophyta; Magnoliopsida; Malpighiales; Linaceae
Description: long non-coding RNA (LUSI_LNC006416)
Source: RNAcentral
GUGAUAAAUAGAAAACCUCGGGCAGAAUAGGAUUUCCUUCGAGAUUAAGCUCAAGAAUGCAGCAAGUCAGGCUUAAAUUCGUGGUAAGUGUCUGAACGAAGGUGGAUGUCAGGGUGCAGUAUGAAAGGUCAAGUUUAAGAAAUUCCUGAGAUCCGCUGGACAAUGAAUCAGUCAACUGCAAAGCCCAUUCCUGCAUUUGGAAUCAUACAGUUUUAUCAAUGAUAAGCAAGAGAAACUUGGCUGCAUGAACAUGGAAAAUGUGAAUGAUACAGCAAGAUGUCAGAGCGACCAACAUUUCCUAUGCCUACUAACAAAGAUAAGUCUACUAGUCUGAGUACUCCAGCCAGUGUGUCAUAUAGCUUCUGAUAACCCACAUGGACAAACCAAGGUGGUAUUCAUGGAAGUUCAUAACUGUGCCCGAGAGUUUCAAAAGGAUACUCAAUUUGUUUCCUAUGAAUAAAACUUGUAUCGGACACAUUAACAAGAGACUGAUCUUUGAGAUUCUGGUAACUAGGGGCAAGAGAACCACAUCUCAACUCCAUAAUAGAUGGAAGAAAACUAAUGGAUGAUGUCCUUGUCAAUGUGUCCUUAUCAAGAGCGCCAACAUAUACAGAAGUCGGACUCAGACAGAGGGAAAACACAUCCAAGAGUCUUGCUGCAGUUACCUACGAAGACCAGUAGCGAAAAUCAGACAAUACACGCAGAAAGUGAUAAGAUAAUAUAUUGUAGAAAAUUAUUACAGAUAAGUUAAGAGUUAUUUGUUGUUGUUAAUUAUCGUGUAUAGUAUUGGAAUUCUUUAUGAAUCUUUAGGUAUUGAUCCUUGAUUUUAUUGAACCUCUAGGGCAGACUUCAUCCAUAUAUACACGGUAGAGAUUAGGCUUUCCUAUCUUAGAAUCCUAAUAGGUAUAACUACUAUAUUUACUGAAGUUGGAAGAAAAUCAACUUGUAAAGCUGCUGUCUGAUAGCCAUGCAGCAUUGAGCAUCAUAAGGAAUCCAGUUCACCAUGAUCGUACAAAACAUGUUGAACUGGAUAGACACUUCAUCACAAAAAAAGAGACAAAACAGAAGUUUGAAAUGGAUUAUGUACCUUCAAAACUGCAGAUAGCAGAUAUCCUAACUAAGGCUCUACCUCAAAAAGCAGGAUGUGGGGUAACAUGGUUACUUGGGAAGCAAGAAGCAGGAUGUUGUUGCCUGCAGUAGUAUUGAAGUUGAGUAUCAAGCAAUCUCACGAGUCACUAAGGAAGGUGUGUGGAUCGAAAGGAUACUAACUGCUAAGUGAGCUAACUUAUGGUGUAGGGUCCUAUACAAAUAGUGUGGAACACUCUUAAGCUACUAAUAUCGUUGUAAACCAUGAUAGGGCAAUACAUGUUGAAAACGGUUACCACUUUAUUACUAAGAUAGUGACAAAUGGAGUUGUGCAGUUAAAGUACAUCUUGUCAGGGCAACAAACCGCUAAUUUGUCCAUGAAAGACAUUACUAGAAACCGUCUUUGACAAACUUAGGAUGCUUAACAUCUAUAUUGCAAAGGAGCUAGUAGUUAGGUCUCCUAUUUUGUAGCUAGCCUGUUUAGUAGUUAGCUUAUUUAAGGAUUCCUACUGAUGGGAAGAGUCCCUUGUUCUCUUGUAUAAAUAAGGGGGUUGUCUAAUGCUAAGGUAAUACGCCGAUACAGAAUUCCCCUACACUUUCUUCUCUCUAGGUCUAACAUAUUUCAUACAUGGUUUCAAUCAAGACACACAAACUAAAAUUUGAAUCUUGAUGUAAGGGGAGCAACAAAACAAUAAAUAAGCACCACAACUAAGUGCAUUCUCUGAGCACCUACCGGAUUUUUGGAGGUGGUCCAACACAAAUAGAGGACCAGAAUAGUAAAUGACAACUAACAAUUGUUGUGCAUGGAAGAGAGCCAUUGAUUCGUCACCACCAAGUGCUACCUUUGGAAGCUUUUCAAUUAUCCUAAUUCAAGAGAAGGGCAUAACACUGUAUUCGCAUUCUUAUCAGCUUGGUAAAUUCCAAUCUGCUCGUACCCCCAAGUCCCGUUCGUGUAUCCUUCACUUAGGAACAACUCUAUAUGUCUCACAUCAAGUACCUGCAUUGCACCACCACAAAAUCCUAUGAAUGCAAUUGGCCACUAACUGUUCACAUAAAAUAGAGCAAUUUGAACUUGUAUUCGCCGAACCAUAUCCCACCAAUUAACCUAAUUCUGAACCACUCACCCAAGCAUCCGCAAAGGCAAUCGACAAAGUGCACAUCUGACAAUGUCAUUAAUCAUCCAUAAGAUUUCGAAUUACAGUUAAUCAUUACAAGGCCAAACAACUUCAAAAGAUCUUACCGGCUUUCCAGAUUCCCCUUUUGAGGCCAUCUAACAAACAAGCACCGGUGGUUGCCAGCAUAUCUUUUGGAGUAUGGGGUUCCAUUAUAGCCGCCGGUAAGUCGAGCCUCUGCGUAACCAAGACCUGGACUGAGAUCGCCAAAUUCCUGGACCCACAAUCAAUGAUGCAGCUAGCAGAAACUUCCCCGUGUUUCAACACCGUGAUUAUGCAAGACUUCUUGUGGAGGUUGCCUUGCUUGAGUGUCUUAAACGUUCCAGCUCCUCCGGAUCCAAUGAGAUUCAGAUGGUUUGAUCUCUAUAUUUCAGCAAUCAAUAAAUCUCUAACUAUUCUAUAAUUCCUCUGCACCUAAUGGUUUCCACUCAUUCAUCAUAUAUUAAUAAUGGUUGAUGUUCUUAUAGGUGAAAACCGUGCUUAUACAUUUCGUGAGAUGGAGACACAUAUUGGUGAAUUACCUUCUCUUUGAAAUUGUGUUUGAAAUUUUUUUGUCAAACAACUUUUGGAAAGUUUAAUGGCUUGAUUGUUAUUAUUCAGUUGCUUUAAUGAUGAGCUGAUUUUCAUAUAAAGAGAAGAAUACAUUCACUAAAGCAACUGAGUAAUAACAACCAAGACACUAAACUUUCCAAAAGUUGUUUGACAAAAAAAUUCCAAACACAAUUUUAAAGAAAUGGUAAUUCAUCAAUAUGUGUCUUCAUCUCACGAAAUGAAUAAGCAUGGUUUCCACCUAUAAGAACAGCAGUCAUCAUUAACAUAUGAUGAAUUGAGUGGAAACCAUUAGGUGCAGAGGAAUUAUAGAGUAGUUAGAGAUUUACUGAUUGCCGAAAUAUAGAGAUCAAACCAUCCGAAUCCCAUUGGAUUCAGAGGAGCUGAAACGUUUAAGAUGCUCAAGCAAGACAACUUCCACAAGAAGUCUUGCAUAAUCACGGUGUUGAACCACGGGGAAGUUUCUGCUAGCUGCAUCAUUGAUUGUGGGUCCAGGAAUUUGGCAAUCUCAGUCCAGGGAUCCAAUUCGUAACUGGUUUCGGCCAAUCGAGUUCACAAAAUCUAUAAAAAAAUUAGUUCAAAAUAAAUGGAUGGCAAACGAUGCAUGAUGGGUCAGAUCUGACAAUUUGAACCCCGAUAAGCAUGAUCAGAACUGAAGUAACUGCAGAGAUCAUCAGGAUGAUCAAAAUCUCUGAACAAAAGUGAAACUCAGUUUUUAGGCUUGUUGGAAAUGUAGCUCGGUUUCUGAUUUCCAAACGGGAGGCUGCGGCCAGGGAACGAGGCAAAGCACAUUAAGCGUAGCUGUAAUCAGCUUGAUUUGAAAUAGCACCGUUCAUUUUCUUAGUAGCCAAACAGUACUAAAACGAACAAAUAUGGCAGAAAAACGAGUGGAUGAAAUCCGCGUGGAAUCCAACUCAAAAUCAGAGCGAGUUCGUUCAAACACAUGAAGAGCAUAGACAUCUUCGAUCUUCUGAUCUGUAUUCCUUACAAACUACGUUCGGCAGCACAGCAAACAACUCAAAGCACAAAAUCAAGCAUAUACAACAGCUCAAAGAAAUGUGAUUCUACGAUUUGACCAAUCGGCAUGGAUGAAAAUCCGAUGGAAUAGUUUUCUACAGAGAUAGUGGAAAGAGAGCUUACAAGGUGAAGACGUUUACGGAUUGAUUAAAGCACUUUACCAAUUAAAAACUGAAUCAUUAUUUGAUGUCUUAAUAUUUAAAUUAAACCAUACCUUAAUUUGAGUAAAUUACGAUAUUAUCUUUUCAUAAAAUGGAAAUCCAUAUAAGAAUUUAUGUAUAUUGACUAAUUUAAAUACACACAAACACACUCAAACAAAAAUCCGAAGAAAAAAUCAAAAAUCGUGACCGUUUCAGGUGCGAAAUUGAAAAAAAAAUUAGAUAGGAGGCCCUGGCCGGCCGCCCGAUUCGGCCGAGAAUGGCCCGGCUGGCCCAACUUUUUUUUAAAUAGUUGAUGUAUGUAAUUAGUGUAAUUAGGAUAAUUAGAUAACUAUUAGUGGGUAAUUAGUGUAAUUAGAUAAUUGUUAGUGAGUAAUUAGGAUAAUUAAAUAGUUGUUAAUGAGUGAUUAGUGCAAUUAGAUAAUUGUUAGUGAGUAAUUAGGAUAAUUAGAUAAUUGUUAGUGAGUAAGUGAUUUUGUUAGGAAAUUGUAUAUUAAGCGAACUUGGUUUAGAAGAAUGCGAAUUUUAUUAAAACUGUUCAUUUGUUUAAAUGCAAUUUGCUUAAAAAUAUGGCGAAGACAAAGGGUGGAGGUAAAUCAUACAGUUAAGAUCCGGUAGAGGAAGAAACAGAUGGGAUCCAAAAAAUGAGAGGAAAAAGAAAACCAAACGGGCAUUUUAGAUCGGAUGAAAGAGCGAGUGAUCACCGACUAUGAACGUCAAAACUGAUGCAAGUGGUAUAGUUUCAGCUCCUUCUCGUCAACCUCCUUAGAGUACAUACUAUAAUUGCAUGGGAUUCCAUGAGUUGUCUCAACUACACAGUUACAUGGUGUAACCUUCGAGAGCUCCUCUGUCAGAAGCUCAAUUUCCCACGCUGAGACUGCAUUAUUGAGAUAUACGAAUGAUUGUUUGUGCGCGUAACGAUAUACCUAGGAGGAAUGAAACAAAACAAGUUAGUGCUUUUGACAUAACUAGUUACAGUAACAAUAUGUAAAUAACUAGUUAUUGCCACAUGAAAUAUAUAUAACUAGUUACAACAACGGUGUGUAAAUAACUGGUUAUUGCCAUAUGAAAUAUGUAACUAGUUAAGGCAACAAUGUGUAAAUACCUUUACGCAAGAGUCAUCCAAGGUCUUUUGAAUUUCAAUGACCAGUCGUCCGAUGGAAGCAUGGUAGCCCUCAAAUAGAAAAUCAACACCCUGAUUCGAAGAGUUGUACCACGACUUCAACGACGAGUGUUGAGAUUCCACCCUAUUAGUGCUCGCGUUUCCAAUAUGGAAACCUGAUUUGUGUCGCAAUGGGCCCACAGGGUCUUAUAAGGUAGCCACUCAUUCUCUAAGUACAGGAUCAAUCCUCCAAUGUUGGCUCAAUCACUGUCGGUCAUGCGUUCCCACUCUUCGUAAAAUUCUUCAUGGAAAAGUGCGUUCAACACUUUAUUCCAUCUCCUGUGCACAAAAGCCUCAACAGAUUUCUCACUCUUCGUGAUGAAUUUUAUUUUGGCAAUAAUAUUCCUUUUCAUGUGCCACACGCAAAGUAAGUGUGGUGUUUCCGGGAAAAUAGUCUGCAACGCAACAACCAAUCUGCGCUCCUUAUCAGUCACAAAUGCUAUUGGUUGUCGCUCGCCCAACAACGUUCUGAACUGAUUCAACACCCAACACAUACGUCUCAACCUUUUCAUUCUCAACGAGUACGAAUCUGAUACUAAAGUUCUUCUGCAUCAGAGUCACACCGGUCAACUGGAUCACUGCUUCCUAUACUUGUUGGUGUUGAAGGUCGAAUCAAUUAGAAUGACGUAAUACGAAGCCCCCAACAUCUGAGCAAUCUCGGGGUGGCUGAGAAAAAGGUUGGCCAAAUUUUUUUCGUCAUCAUCUGUAGACUGAACGAAGUACCGCAAUCGUGUAGCGGCUCUCAAUGUCCAAUCCGUCGAACUCAUGGCUCCUAAUUUUUCUUUUCUAAUCUUGUACGACUCGUUGUAUAUCUGGUUCAUACUAUGAUGAGAAUUGAACUUCUUGUUCAAAGCGUACCUAAACUUGUUCGGUUGUGUGUGAGUCGCAAGUAUGUCCCUAAUUUCGCUCUUCUCUUCAUUCGUAAGUGCAUUACUUUCUGUGCUAGCUUCGGAAUAUGACACAAAAAAAUGAUUGUGAUAUCCUUUUGAGAUUGUAGGAUUGUUGGUGUGGCCUACACCGUCAAUACAGAAUUUCCACUCGCCACCUACGACCCGACACCUUCACACUUCUUUGUCGUAAUACGUUUCGGUUGGUCGGAACAUGAGGAUUUACGAGCAGGUCCCCGAGAGCAAUACAGAUACACACCAUACUCUCGCUCUGCCUUAUUUAUAUUGUUGGAUCCUUUAGUCAACUUGAAAUUAAGCGUCUGGGAAAUUCACUUUGCAGCUUCACAAGCUUCCUCGGCAGUAUCGUAAACAUCGUCGGAUAAAAAUUGUUCGAUGUAAUUGAUUCUGUCACCCUUACUCACCAAUGAAUCUCCGUACAUUAUGGGCCCACCAAACAAUUAUCAAUUAUCUACACAAUUCCGUAUUAAUUCACUUAUUUCUAUAACAAAAUUAAUGACCACUUACCGAAUGCUCAUGACGAGUUAGUGCAUCCAACGAACGUUAAAAUCACGUGACGAAUGUGAUUAUCUGGAAAAAUAUUUAAGAAGAUCGUUAAAAAAUUUCGGCCUGACGGAAAUAUUGGCCGGAAGACCACCGAGCCGGACCAAAAAAUCGACCACCAAGCCUCCCGGCCGGCCGCGAAUUUCGGCCGCAGAAGAAGGGAAGAAACGUUUUCCUCAACCUCACUGGCGGAGGAUCGUAGCGCCUGAAGUUCACGAGAGAAAGGGAUUGGGGAUGUUGCCGCCAUAUCACUAUCUUCAGAUGGCGACGAGAGCUUGAAGAUACAAGUUCCAAACCUACUACUUAUUUUCUUAACCCACAGAUUCUUGGGCUUUGAUAAGUAAUACACAAUAUUUUCUUCAUUUCAGAUUGAACUUUUUUCAGAUUUGUAAUCUAUGUUUGGAUUAACUGGUUUGAUUACUAUUUGUUCGGUAGGAUGUCAUAUUAAAUAAAAUUGGUUGAAUAUUUUAUUAUUAAUUUAUAUAUUUUAUUUUAGUUUAAUAUGAUUAACGGUUUAAUCGGUAUAAAAUUGUGAAUGAAUGAUUAAAUUUUUUAUCCUUACAAUUACAAGAGAUGAUAUCAAACUUGGUCAAGUUACAUUUAAACUUCAACAAAAUAGUCGUAACUCGUACUUAUAAAAAAUCGUAAAUAAAAAAAUUUAAACGCGGUCAUCAUCCAUCCAACCUAUAAACAUAUAAGUAAGAUAUGAAUUGAGGGUCUUGUUACCCACUCAACCAAUUCAUCUUUAUUGUGCAUUUCAGUUAUUCUUUGUAACUACAUACUACAUAGUGUCAUAAUAAUUAGUUGUUACAGCCUUACAGAUAGGUAGUUUUGUUAACAAGUGGUUCAGGUAAUAGUACAUUGACCAUCUUUGCAGCACAAGGGUAUGGGCAGAAUCUGAUUGCAGCACAAUCCGCAAAUCAAGGUGUUUGUAUUUUCUACGGCAGACGGAGCUGACGCAGCCGCCACGGCCGCCGGCGACGGUGGGGGGUACUUGCUGGCGCAACAUUGUUGAGGCUGUAGAGUUGUGGAGAGAAGAAGAAGAGUUGCUAACAUUACAAACUUGUAGUAGUUUUCCACCUUCAAACCCAUCGUCAUCAUCAUCUUGUGGUUAGAGAUUGAAUUGUGUGAGAAACACCCUGAUCGAGAGCAUUUGUAUAUAUAGAUAGAUAGAAAGCAGCAUGAACAGUGUAUAACAUUCCGUGCAUACUAGUUGUGUGAUGAUCUUCUUACAAGUAUGAUGCGUACAGAGGAAUGGAAAUAUGCAUGUCAUUAGUUCAGCAUUUCCUAUUGUGGUUUUGACGUCUAGGGCACGAAUUGAUUCUCAUUCCCUUCUGCAGCACGGCUUGCUGCAACACUUUUUUCCUGCAACUGAGAAAUGGACUAUUUGGUCUUUAACGUGCUUCUGAGCUGAGGAACCCUUCUUCCCCACUCUCCACGAACCAUACAAUGCUUCCGCUUCUUUCACCGAAAGUCCAUUCCUGCUCAAAUCCAACACCUGCAAUGCCUUGGCUGCACUUAUGCCAUCCGACAGCUCCUUAACGAUUUGAGACGAUAUUAUUGGCUCGUCUUCAUUCUUCUUCUUCUUCUUCUUCCCCCAGGAGGAGCUUGUGCAUGUGUCGUUCAGCUCAGAUCGAAUAGCAGCAGCAGCUUCGACUCUGGUUGAAUCCUCACUAUCAGCAACUUCGAGGCCGUCACUCUCCAUGUUUAGUUGACAAUCAACUAAUCUUCCCUCGUGAUCCGCUGGGUCGGAAUGAGAUGCUAUUGUUGCUGUCUGUUGAUCAGUCGUUGAGGCUAAUUUAUGAAGAUCGCCAUUCUCAGCAACAUGGAGUUCCUCCAGCUGAUCAUUCUCUGUGAUACAAUUGUGGUUAAGAAAGGACAGGUCAAAGGAAACUGAAAAACUAUGGGAGAAUUCAUAUAUUCUAAGAACCUGCGAGUGCUUGGACCAAUUGAAGGAUGAGGGGAAGUCCCAGCUGACAUUUGUUUAGGAUGAGAAGUCUCAGGGAACACCCUGGUUGCUUGACUAGUGAUACCAAUGCGCUUCCUCCCUGUUUCAAGAUCCGAGCAAGUUCACCGACUAAAAACAAAAAGAAAAACUGGAAAUUUAGAACUUGUGAGAUAAGGUGAUAAAUAGAAAACCUCAGGCAGAAUAGGAUUUCCUUCGAGAUUAAGCUCAAGAAUGCAGCAAGUCAGGCUUAAAUUCGUGGUAAGUGUCUGAACGAAGGUGGAUGUCAGUGUGCAGUAUGAUAGGUCAAGUUUAAGAAAUUCCUGAGAUCCGCUGGACAAUGAAUCAGUCAACUGCAAAGCCCAUUCCUGCAUUUGGAAUCAUACAGUUUUAUCAAUGAUAAGCAAGAGAAACUUGGCUGCAUGAACAUGGAAAAUGUGAAUGAUACAGCAAGAUGUCAGAGCGACCAACAUU